ACACACACACACACACACACACACACACACACUCACACACUCACACACACCUAGUUGACAGCUGCUCUGUCCCCUGCAGAGAUCUCCUUCCCCACCUGGAUCCCGCCCCCUGGAAUCAAGAGCCAGAGUCUCUCUCACUUCUUUGAAAGAGUCCAUGACCUGCUCAGAAACUUCAAGUCUGCCUCGGCCCAGGACAACAUCCAGGACAUCAUACAGGAGGUGGAUAAUCUGCUGGAGACCCCGGGGGACCUGGAUACUCUGCCCCAUUCAGAGCAGCACUGUGUGGCCACUAACCUGCUGACUGGCCGGGAGGACGUCCUGAGAGAGCUGAGCAAGGCCUUGCCCAAUGGGCCACUGACCUUCAGGACAGCUGCAG
Myotis brandtii (Brandt's bat) is the source of this 376-nucleotide long non-coding RNA. RefSeq lists it as uncharacterized. The transcript has 3 exons. NCBI's taxonomy places the organism in Eukaryota, Metazoa, Chordata, Mammalia, Chiroptera, Vespertilionidae. The record is from RefSeq and is a predicted model, not a curated record.